AUUAGCUAGUUGGUGGGGUAACGGCCUACCAAGGCGAUGAUCAGUAGCCGGUCUGAGAGGAUGAACGGCCACAUUGGGACUGAGACACGGCCCAAACUCCUACGGGAGGCAGCAGUGGGGAAUAUUCCGCAAUGGACGAAAGUCUGACGGAGCAACGCCGCGUGAGUGAUGAAGGUUUUCGGACUGUAAAGCUCUGUUGUUUAGGACGAAAGUGCCUGCUGCGAACAGUUGCAGGUAUUGACGGUACUGAACGAGGAAGCCACGGCUAACUACGUGCCAGCAGCCGCGGUAAUACGUAGGUGGCAAGCGUUGUCCGGAAUUAUUGGGCGUAAAGAGCAUGUAGGCGGGAAUCUAAGUCUGUUGUGAAAAUGCGGGGCUCAACCCCGUAUGGCGAUGGAAACUGGAUUUCUUGAGUGCAGGAGAGGAAAGGGGAAUUCCCAGUGUAGCGGUGAAAUGCGUAGACAUUGGGAGGAACACCAGUGGCGAAGGCGCCUUUCUGGACUGUGUCUGACGCUGAGAUGCGAAAGCCAGGGUAGCGAACGGGAUUAGAUACCCCGGUAGUCCUGGCCGUAAAC
RNAcentral lists this ribosomal RNA (575 nucleotides) under uncultured bacterium. Its description in RNAcentral is "bacterial SSU rRNA". It matches the Rfam family "Bacterial small subunit ribosomal RNA", at positions 240 to 807 of the family's 1533-position model. The record is from RNAcentral.